This 268-nucleotide long non-coding RNA is filed under the name Medicago truncatula (barrel medic). Its description in RNAcentral is "long non-coding RNA (MTRU_LNC003690)". The record is from RNAcentral. Lineage: Eukaryota; Viridiplantae; Streptophyta; Magnoliopsida; Fabales; Fabaceae.
AAAUAUCGUAAUAAUAAUUAUAUUAGCUAUUUAUCAAUUGUGAGCCUUAGUUGAUUAGUGAUCAAAUUAAGUAAUAAGGCUAUUAGAUUUCUAAUUGGAUAAUUAAUUAAAUAUUUAAUUAAUUGAUAUGGACUCAAUGAGUGGAUGUCCGGAUGACCCAUUAACAGAAUAAUGGGAAACCCUAAUGGUCAUCCAAUAUAAAAGAGGCUAUGGUCCCCAAUACACCGUACACGACAAUACUCUCUCUUCUCCCCAUCUGAAGAGAACU